GCGGGAAUAGCUCAGUGGUAGAGCGUUACCUUGCCAAGGUAAAUGUCGCGGGUUCAAGUCUCGUUUCCCGCUCCA
RNAcentral lists this transfer RNA (75 nucleotides) under Bacillota bacterium. RNAcentral describes it as "tRNA-Gly". It matches the Rfam family "tRNA". Rfam says of the family: Transfer RNA (tRNA) molecules are approximately 80 nucleotides in length. The record is from RNAcentral. Lineage: Bacteria; Bacillati; Bacillota. RNAcentral also lists the same sequence under 6 other names.